UACGUAGGGGGCAAGCGUUGUCCGGAAUUACUGGGCGUAAAGAGCUCGUAGGUGGUUUGUCGCGUUGUUCGUGAAAACUCACAGCUUAACUGUGGGCGUGCGGGCGAUACGGGCAGACUGGAGUACUGCAGGGGAGACUGGAAUUCCUGGUGUAGCGGUGGAAUGCGCAGAUAUCAGGAGGAACACCGGUGGCGAAGGCGGGCCUCUGGGCAGUAACUGACGCUGAGACGCGAAAGCGUGGGGAGCGAACAGG
This 253-nucleotide ribosomal RNA is filed under the name uncultured bacterium. RNAcentral's name for it is "partial 16S ribosomal RNA". It matches the Rfam family "Bacterial small subunit ribosomal RNA", at positions 524 to 776 of the family's 1533-position model. The record is from RNAcentral.